Long non-coding RNA from Antechinus flavipes (yellow-footed antechinus), 3112 nucleotides. RefSeq lists it as uncharacterized. NCBI's taxonomy places the organism in Eukaryota, Metazoa, Chordata, Mammalia, Dasyuromorphia, Dasyuridae. The record is from RefSeq and is a predicted model, not a curated record. The transcript is spliced from 2 exons.
CUGCCCCCCCUCCCCGCCUCCCCGAUCCGGGCCCGGCCCUGCCCCCCUCCACCAGCACCCAGCCUGCCUUUUGUUCUCUCUCCCUCUCUCCCUACCCCCCUCUGAGUAAGGAGGGGGGAGCCAUGGGGCAGCCUGCCUCUGCCCUCCCCCCACAUCUGGAAGGUGCCCUGCUCCCGCCCUGCUCCCGCCCUGCUCCAUAAUAGACAUCCCCCCAAGGGUGGGCCCGCAGUGCCUGGGGGGGGCACAGCUGGAGGGGGGCUAGGUGUGUGGAGGAGCAGGGGGUCAGAGGCAGGGGGUAGGGGAAAGGGCUGGGGCUGGGACCCUAGGACCCAGCAGUAGACAUCCAGGGGGGAAUCAGCUGGUCCUGGCCCAGGGGGAGCUGGACACUCUCCAAACAGGAAGCUUCAUAUGGCCACAGAGGAUGGGGGGCCAUUUGUGACCGGUCUAACCUGGCCAGCCCGGACACCAGCUGAUGUUUGUCUCUGUUUCUGUCUUUGUCUCUCUGUCUCUGUCUUUAUCUCUGUCUGUCUUUGUCUUUUUCUCUCAGUCUCUGUCUCCAUCUUUGUCUCUGUCUUUGUCUCUUUCCAUCUCUGUCUCUGUCUCUAUCUUUGACUCUCUGUCUCUGUCUUUAUCUCUGUGUCUUUGUCUUUUUCUCUCAGUCUCUGUCUCUGUCUUUGUCUCUUUCCAUCUCUGUCUCUGUCUCUAGCUUUGACUCUCUGUCUCUGUCUUUAUCUCUGUGUCUUUGUCUUUUUCUCUCAGUCUCUGUCUCUGUCUUUGUCUCUUUCCAUCUCUGUCUCUGUCUCUAGCUUUGACUCUCUGUCUCUGUCUCCAUCUGUUACUGUCACACACACACACACACACACACACACACACACACACAAACAGGGAGCUGGGCCCAGAACUAGACCACAGGAAGCCCCCAGUGUGGGGCUGGCUGGGAUCCCAAGCCGCCCCCUGCGCGCCUGCCUCCUCUGAGUCACGCUCCCAGACUCUCCUGUUGUCCUCCAGCCUCGGAGCUCCAUUCCUUGGCCUCCGGCCAUCUGGUCCAAUCUCCUGCGGCCUCUGGCCCUUCCUAUAUUUCUGCUCUUCAGCUGGGAUUCUCCUGGCUUCCUCCGGCCUCUUUUCUCCUCCUUGGGCCUGAAUUCUCGGAUAACCCUCCUCUGACCUGUUUCUUAGGGUCCCCUCUGGCCUCUGACUUCUCCCUCUGCCUGGUGCCCUCUGCCUCUGAUCUCUGACUGCCCCCACUCGCCUUCAGACCCUUCUCCCGCCUCUGGCCUCCUCUGGCUGCUGCUGGCGGACUUCCCAACUUAUGCUCCACAUAAACAAGGGAUAAGUCACAUGAGUGCCCAAAGUAAGAAGAAGCAUCUCAGUCCGGUUUCUGUAGCUCUCAAAGGUGCACCCAUUGUCUCCAGCUCCUUCAUGUGGACACAGGCUUUCCACUGCUACAGGUGGCCAGCCCUCCAGGUCUUUGAGGCCUGUCUCUCCCUCCCUAGGAUUCCAGGUCAAGUUGUCCUGCAGAGCCUCUCCCCAAGGUCUGGUGCUGGUGCCCACCCCCCAAACUGAUGAGCCGAAGGAAGGACCCCUCCCUCCAAGAUGGAGGGCCCAUCUUGCCACGUCACCGGCCUGUCUCCUCGGGAGGCAUUGAGGUGAAGCACGCUGGUUCUGCCAGUGACUCACUGUGUGACCCUGGGCAAGUUCCUCACCCAUCAGAGGAGGGUGGUCAUCCGCAUAGGCUUAGUCUUCCAGCCCUGGCUCUUUAGUUUCCUCGCGGGCAUCCCUCACGGUGGCAGAUCGCUCUCGGCAGAUCACUCUCGCCGGCUCUCUCUGCUGACCUGGGCCCACACGGACUCCGUCGUUCUGUGGAUUCCCGGCAUUCUGGCCUCUGUUGUAGCUCAAGAGUCCCGGCUGCCCAGCCACGGGAGCCGUCUCCAGGGAAUGGGCUAGAGGAGAGGAGCAGUUUGUGACAGAAUACUCCCAAAGGGUACGCUCUCCAGAAGACCAGUCGUAAUUGGAGAAAUGUGCAGAAGAGGCUGCCGCUUCCUCUCCGCAGACCCGCAAAGGUGGCCCAGGAGGCUGGGCCGGGGCACCCCUCCGUCCUGCUCUGUGCCCCUGGGCUCCAGGGCCCCAAUCCCACCCCUGGGGACGAGUUAUCCAAAACUUCUCCAGAUCUUCGCAAAAAGAAAUUCGAGGGUCUUUGCUAAGAACAGCACACGUCUGCAGACUCCCCGAAGGUCCACAAAGCGCUUCAGAGGGGAUUUCCCUCAAUCCUUGCAACCCCGGGAGGUGGGUGCCAUUCCAGCGCCAGUUUGGAUGAGGCCGACUGACUUGCCUCAGGUUCCCAAAGCUAGAAGUGUCUGAGGCCACAUUUGAACUCAGAUCUUUGUGCGUGCAGGCUCGUGCUCUGUGCGCUGUGAUGUCAGCAUCAUGUGAGUAUGAAGGACAGGCAUUUAUUUCCUAUACAGAAGUGCUAAAGAUUGGGAUACUCCCAGAAUAUAAUAGGGCAGCUUAGCGGCACAGUGGGUAGACAUUGGGCUUGGAGUCAGGAGAACCUAAGUUCAGAUCCAGCCUCAGAUACUAGCUGUGUGACCCUGGGUGAGUCACUUAAUCGAGUCUACCUCAGUUUCCUCAUCUGUAAAACGAGCCAGAGAAGAAAAUGGCAAACCAUUCCAGUGUCUUUGCCAAUUCCCUGCAGAGAAGUCUCAAAGAGUCAGACGGGACUGAAGAUAAUGAAACAACAAAGAAUACACAGGAAAAAAAAAAGACAAAGCAAUUCCCCGUCAGACAUGGGCAAAAAUCUAAAAGCGGAGGUCGCCUUCUGCCGCCUCCAUCAGCAGCUGAAGAGCUGCCUCUGGUGAAUCCUUCGCCAUCACAAUGGGUCUGCGUCCAUCCGGGUUUUUCAGUCUCCAACUUGUCUUUGCGCUGUUGCUUUUAUUUUAUCAAUAGUUCUUCUUGAAUGCACCUGCUUAACCUAUAUUGGAUUACUCAAGAGAACGGGGCUGGGGGGAAGGGAGGGAGAAAAACACAAGGUUUUGCAGGGAUGAAUGUGGAAAACUAUCGUUACAUGCAUUUUGAAAAUAAAGUCCCCAAAGUGGUUCUUUUUCUGCUCGCUUCA